Molecule: long non-coding RNA, 913 nt
Organism: Solanum lycopersicum (tomato)
Lineage: Eukaryota; Viridiplantae; Streptophyta; Magnoliopsida; Solanales; Solanaceae
Source: RefSeq, a predicted model, not a curated record
GGUUGUUCAUAUUGAAAUAACAAAAGGUGAUGAAGAAAAUUAGGGUUUUACAAAUCAAUGCGACUGGGAAUAGGAAAAAUGUACAUCAGUUACUCUUCUGUUAGGAUUGAGUAUAAAACCCUAGAUUUGUCACCUACAAGGUUAAGAUGGUGCUGUAGGACUAGAUGGAUUCAAUGAUAUUUUUUUAAUCAUACAUGUUGGUGGAUUAUCAAGCACGAUCCUAUUAAUUUUGUGCAAUACUUCUUCAAAGGAGGUAGUAAUGAUGGAAGCUUCGACAUCAAGGGUGUUGUCAAAAGAUAGAUGCGAGAGACUGCAAAAAUCAUUUCUAAGGAGGUAGUUUACUAAGAGGUUUGUUUCCGAUUCAUGAAUAGGACUAUGCAUUAUUUACCAAAGUGAGUGAGAGGCUUCUACCUAGUUGUCGUCCCAAAGGUGAAUUUCGCUACCAUCAACAAUAUUCCCAAAGAUACCUUUUUGGUACACAUCUUCUUUCAAACCGAAGAAGGUUAGUGCAUCAAAAUCCCUAGAACUACUACAGAUGGACCUAUGUGGACCCAUGAGGGUUCUCGUCAAAGGACAUAAGUGGUAUGUUUUCAUUAGUGCUAAUGAUUACACCAAAUAAUUCAGUUGGACCAUAUUUUUCAGUUCAAAAGAGGAGAAUUCUGAAAUUUUUACUUAUCUUUGUGAAACUAGACCAAAAAAAGUCUAAAGUUAUAAGUAUUUGAUUUGACCAUGACACAAAAUUUAAAAAAUAUUAAAAUUUUAAAAUAUUGUGCAUAACAUGAAAUAUAUCACAGUUUCUUCGCUCCUAGAACUCCUCAACAAAACAGAGUUGUAAAAGAAAAAAAUAGAUGCUCAACCUUGUUCUGAACUAAGAGAAGAUAAAUUGGUUAAAACUUUGUGCUUUUAAAGUAUU